Molecule: non-coding RNA, 3286 nt
Organism: Entelurus aequoreus (snake pipefish)
Lineage: Eukaryota; Metazoa; Chordata; Actinopteri; Syngnathiformes; Syngnathidae
Source: the annotation of a RefSeq genome assembly
AUGUUCCGUGUAGUUGUGCUGCUGUUGCUGGCUGCAGGUUCCUGUGUCGAGUGCGAAGAGUUGACCCAGCCACCGUCUGUCACUCUGCAGUCUGGUCAGAGUCUGAGCAUCGACUGUCGGGUGUCUUAUUCUGUGGCUGCUGGUGGCUACUACACAGCGUGGGUCAGGCAUCCUGCUGGGAAAGGACUGGAGUGGAUUGGGAUGGCGUAUACUGGCGCAUCUUACUACAAGGACUCACUGAAGAACCAGUUCAGUAUUAAUGUGAACCCCUCCAGCAAAACAGUGACUCUAAAUGGACAGAAUAUGCAGCCUGGAGACACGGCUGUGUAUUACUGUGCCAGACAACCACAACAACGGUACUACUUGGACUACUGGGGAAAAGGAACCCAAGUCACAGUUACAUCUGGCACACCAGUCCCACCAGUCCCACCCACUGUCUUUCCUCUGAUGCAAUGUGGCUCCGGAGCAGGAGACAUGGUCACUCUCGGCUGUCUGGCCACCGGCUUCAAACCUCUUCCACUGACGUUUGCGUGGAGCAAAGACGGGACCGAUUUGUCUGACUUCAUUCAGUAUCCUUCAGUGGAGAAGGACAACCUUUACACGGGAGUCAGUCAGAUCCGAGUGAGGCAAGCCGACUGGGACAGCAGGGCCAAAUUUCGAUGUGUCGCCAAACAUUCAACUAAAACUGUUGAUGCCGUGAUCACCAAAACAGAAGAGAGGAUGGAGAGGAUUGUGUCUCCAAACAUGACAUUGUAUCCGCUGUGGGAGGGCAACCUUGCAGGAGACUCCUCUGUCAAACUUAGGUGCGCCUUAAGUGGCUUCUUCCCGGACACGCUGAGUGUCGAGUGGCUGCAGGGCAACCGAAUCAUCGACGGCGUGCAAACCGUGAGCAAGUUUCAGAGUGUGACGGCCCCACAGACCUUCAGUCUAAUCAGUGAGAUUGAGCCUGAUGUAAAAGAGUGGACAAACGGCUUAAGGUUUACCUGCAAGUCCACUCACAACAAGGUGGAAGAGAAAAAGUCAAUCAGUACCUGUGAAACACAGGCAAGCGUCCCACCUUCCGUUCAUGUGGAGCUCCCCAGCUUCAAGGAAGUCAUGACGGAAACAUCCCAAGUGAAAGCAACAUGUUCGGUGCGCACCGCAUUGGAUGCCGUUGUCACAUGGCUGCUGGACGGCAAAGCAGCCAGCGACCAAGCGAGCGCGUACGCUAAUGCGUCUCACGUCAUCAGUACUCUGACAGUGUUGCCUGAUGUGUGGAGACAAAUCAGGAUUCUCAAAUGUAAAGCGGCGCAUCUUUGCUUCCCGGACGUCGAGGAGACCGUACGUGUGUCAGGUGUUGCAGUCACCGCUCCACUGGUGGAGAUGAGGCGAUCUCUUGCAGAUUUACAGAAUAACAACAGCGGCGUGUUCGAGUGUGACAUCACGCAACUGGACGCCAUCGAUCUCUACGUCACAUUUCAGGCCGACGGUGUGGAUAUUUCUAACAAACAGUAUGUUGAUCUCCCUGAAGGCCUGGGCCCACAUUCCAUCCGUCCACGUUUCAGUUUGCACGAGUCCUACAGGAAGAGUGACGCAAAUUUAACCUGCAAAGUGAGCCAAGGCUUCUCCGACAGCUUCCGGUCAAACCCCAUAUACGGCCUUUUUGUGGACCCAUCAGUGGAACUCUUUCUGGCCCCCAGUGAGGAAUCGAAACCUCAGAGGGUUCUGUGCUCUGGUCGGGGCUUUAACCCUCAAAUUAAAUGGUUCAGCGAGGCUAAGCAGAGAGCGCCAUCAAUUACUAGCAUCAGCAUGAGUGCGGAUGGACGUGUGGCUGUGACCAGUCAACUCCACGUCCCACCGAUAGAGUGGCAAACUGGGAAGGUCUUCACCUGUCGAGUGUCUGACAAGUGGCUGAAUAAAGAUGUCACCAAGACCAUCAGCAUUUGCUCCGUAACCCCAAUAUCAUCCCAACAAGUUGGAGUGUUUGUUCACGGACCCCCACUCACAGAGUCUCAGCAGAGGGACAAGGUGACCAUUACUUGUCUUUUGGUUGGCCCUCGACUUCAUGAUUUUGUCAUCUCCUGGAAAGUAGAUGGGAAGAAAUACUCUCAGAAUUCCCACACGGAGGAGCCGACUCGUCACAGCAAUGGUACAGAGACCUUACGGAGCUUCCUCAGUGUGCCAGCAGAUGACUGGGAUGCAUAUAAACAAGUGUCCUGUGAGGGACAACACAAGUGUUCCAACCAGGGCCAUGAGGACUACAUCAGCAAAAGCAGAGACUUGUAUCCACCAACAGUGCACAUAAUACCACCGACCAUCUCAGAGCUGUCACUGUCUGAUGACCUCACACUGGCUUGCCUAGUUUCUGGAUAUUUCCCAGAUAACGUUAUAGUGUACUGGGAGAAAGAUGGUCAAAGAUUGCUGGACUACACCAACAGCCCUUCGUGGAAAUACAGCAGCAGCAAUACUUAUUCAAUGAGCAGUAGAAUUAAUGUGUCUAAAACUGAGGACCGCGAAUCCAGCUAUUCUUGCGCUGUCAGACAUGAGUCAUCUCAAAGUCCUUUUACGAGCACUAUAGAGGACGUGUUUGCCACAGUGACUCCUACCCAACCGUCAGCCAUCUUGCUCCAGGGUCGUGGUGAACUGGUGUGUCUGGUGUUCGGCUUCAGUCCCGCGUCCGUUAACGUCUCCUGGUUUCUGGAUGACACCAAUGAGCUGUCGGACUUCAACACCAGUCAACCCAGCAGAGGCCCAGAUGGGAAGUUCAGCAUCCAAAGCCGCCUUCGUCUGUCUCAAGUCAACUUGUUACCUGGGGCGGUUCACACCUGCAGGGUGACACAUGUGACCGUUACACUGACCUUGAAUAUAACCAAUCCAGUGAUUUUGCCGGAUUGCAACGUCUUGGAUGACAUUGCUCAUGCAGUUGUUAACCAAGAUAUCAAUGCGGAAAGCUGGUAUAUGUCUGCCACAUUCCUUGUCCUCUUUCUCAUCUCCACCAUCUAUGGUGUGGUGGCCACCCUGCUUAAGACUAAAUAAUUCUGUCAGUGGAACAGAUGAAUGCUUCCAAGACAGUGGAUGUUUUAUUGAACUACUUUUGACAUAUAAAUAAAGAUUUGGUUCUAAUACUGUAUCACUGGUUUAAUUUUUGCUUUUAACAAAGCAGUAUCACAACCACAUAAAAAAUAGAAUAUUGUUUCUGCAUUAAAAAAGUAAAAACCAAAAAAUAAAUAAAUAACACACCCUCAGUUACUCACAUUGACCACAAGAGUGCACCAAAGUUUAAACUGUAGUAAAGCUUGCUUGCUUG